UAGAGUUUGAUCCUGGCUCAGGACGAACGCUGGCGGCGUGCUUAACACAUGCAAGUCGAACGAUGAAGCCCAGCUUGCUGGGUGGAAGAGUGGCGAACGGGUGAGUAACACGUGAGUAACCUGCCCUUCACUCUGGGAUAAGCGCUGGAAACGGCGUCUAAUACUGGAUAUGACUCCUACAGGCAUCUGUUGGGGGUGGAAAGAUUUAUCGGUGAAGGAUGGGCUCGCGGCCUAUCAGGUUGUUGGUGAGGUAACGGCUCACCAAGCCUACGACGGGUAGCCGGCCUGAGAGGGUGACCGGCCACACUGGGACUGAGACACGGCCCAGACUCCUACGGGAGGCAGCAGUGGGGAAUAUUGCACAAUGGGCGCAAGCCUGAUGCAGCAACGCCGCGUGAGGGAUGACGGCCUUCGGGUUGUAAACCUCUUUUAGUAGGGAAGAAGCGUAAGUGACGGUACCUGCAGAAAAAGCACCGGCUAACUACGUGCCAGCAGCCGCGGUAAUA
This 506-nucleotide ribosomal RNA is filed under the name uncultured Leucobacter sp. RNAcentral describes it as "bacterial SSU rRNA". It matches the Rfam family "Bacterial small subunit ribosomal RNA", at positions 1 to 525 of the family's 1533-position model. Lineage: Bacteria; Bacillati; Actinomycetota; Actinomycetes; Micrococcales; Microbacteriaceae. The record is from RNAcentral.